GAAGUCGGACACAACCAACUGAGCCACCCAGGCAUCCUGGUCAGUAAACUCUGGCGUCCGAGCAAGGUCCACAUUUAUCUCGGCAGAGUCUCCCACCCAGCCCCGUUUUGAAAGUUUUAGAGGCUUUAUUUCAUCAUUGACCCAACUAGUUACUGCAAGGCCUACAAAGGUAAAUGACACGUUUCCUAUUCAAGGUUAAAAGAUAAACAUGGCAUUAAAAUAUAAAAGGCAGAAGAGGGAGAAGCAUUUCAGGGGAUAGGUCAGUAUGAUUGAAGACGGAGAUGUGAUCAGUGGAGGAGAACCAAAUUGCCUAAUAGUAGAAUGUGGACCUCUGCGUAUUGUCGAAACAUACAUUUUUGGAGCUGUCACUCAUCCCUGUCCCUUAUACUGUAACCCAGGUGGGACACUGCCAUGGAAGUCUAGCUGUAGAGCAGGAGUGAUGAAAAGGGAGCACUGGGCUGUUGAACGUCACUGCUCACCUGCCUCCACCGAAGGCUUUCUUUUCCUGGGAAAAAGGCUUUUAUGCCAUGUACUAGUUUCUCUCCUACACCAUCAUGGGAGGGAAGGAACUGUUACUUGUCUUUUUCUUGCUAGGCAUUGCUCUAGUACUAAAUUUGAACUGCCCCUAAAGGAGGAAGAAAAGAAUGCAAUGAAAUGCUUAUUAGCUGGAUAGACAGAAGUAGUCAAUUAUUCAAGAUAUCCCUUGGUUUUAUUUUAACUUAACCCUUGUGAAUACUUCACAAAAAAUACAUAUACAGAAGCAAAUAAAACUAUACAAACUAAAUAUGCAGCAGAUAGAACAAGUAGUCAGAAGUUCAAAGAGGGAGAGCUGUUUAAAAAAAAACAGUUUGGAAAUGAAUACUUUCAACAAAAGCAUUCCAGGUGUUUUAAAACACAAAAUAACUUGAUUAUCUAUAGAAUCGAUGAAUGGGGAACAUGCAUUGAUCAGUACAACGACCAAUAAUAUUUAUUGAAUUCAAACUAUUUACUGUUGUAAACAUUUAACGAAAGCGUCAUGACAUCUAAAUACAGUUUUUGAUGUCAAAUUCCAACAAAAUAAGUGGUAUGUUUAAAAAAUAAAGCUGAUGAUCCAUUCUAUAUAUUUUCUUUCAACAGUUCCAGCAAGAGAAAUAGCACAGUAUUUUAAAAAAGUAUACAGCAAAGAUUGUUUCUGUUAACUCUGGAAACUGUAAAUACAAACAGUCAAUGAACAGUCAAACGGUCAUAUUCUUAAUCAGAAAGAAGUUCCAGAUCAGUCAGCGAUCCAGUUAUCUUCAAUUGUCUGUCAGUUGAUUUCAUAGUUCUUUUUCCAAAA
This is a long non-coding RNA of Hyaena hyaena (striped hyena), 1315 nucleotides long. RefSeq lists it as uncharacterized. The transcript is spliced from 2 exons. NCBI's taxonomy places the organism in Eukaryota, Metazoa, Chordata, Mammalia, Carnivora, Hyaenidae. The record is from RefSeq and is a predicted model, not a curated record.